UGGGUAAAUCAUUUUCAAAUAAUUAUCUUCCGUAUUUAUUGUUUUUUACCGUUUAACUCCUCAAUUUCCUAUUAUUUUAUAUUUAGUUAAGUUUGAUUUUGCUCUAAUCAUUAGCGAUUCCCCUCAAACUCUACUUAUUUCAUUUUAUAUGAAGGAUCUUUUUAAAGUCUUCUGUCAGUAAAGCAACCAAAAAUAAACAAAGUUGGAAAGCACACUUAUGAAAAUGUGCAACAAUCAUUAAUUGAUCAAUGAAACAAAUGGAGAUUCGCAUUUUAAAGUUUAACAUGCUGAUCAUUUGGUGGACACAUCGGCUUUUCCUCACCUCCAAGAACCGUUUAUUUGCUCAUCACCCUUUUGGACUCGUUAAUAAUUACAAUUUUGGUUCAAUUCAAGGUUUGAUUGGAAAUAUUCGUUGAACUAAUGAGCCUUGUUAAAAUCUAGAAUCAAUUUGAUAAAAUUAAUGACAGUUUUAUGUUCAUCUGAGUAUCUAAGAUUAUGUUGAUUUAAGCUUUAAGUAAUAAUUUCCAUUUUAAAUCAUCAUUACUCAAUUGUAUCGGUUAGUUGAGAUUGGUAAUGUCUUUUAAUGAGAUUGAUUUUUACUCAAUAACUGGCUGACAUUGGAUAACAUCGAUUAUUUAAUUGAACUUGAGAUGACAAUUUUUUUGUGUCUCCCUAAUUUACCCACAAAAAUUGGCUAAACAUUGGUGUACUUUAGUGAUUUCAAUGUUGCCGUAAAUUGAUUGAAAUACCAAUUUGUUAUUUAAACCUGUUACACGCAAAGUUAGACUGGUAAAUAAUUAAACCUCUCCGAAUUGAAUAAGAUUAAUUAAAGAUCUGUGAAACAUGA
Molecule: long non-coding RNA, 847 nt
Organism: Tetranychus urticae (two-spotted spider mite)
Lineage: Eukaryota; Metazoa; Arthropoda; Arachnida; Trombidiformes; Tetranychidae
Source: RefSeq, a predicted model, not a curated record